Molecule: transfer RNA, 74 nt
Filed under: Methanomassiliicoccaceae archaeon DOK
Lineage: Archaea; Methanobacteriati; Thermoplasmatota; Thermoplasmata; Methanomassiliicoccales; Methanomassiliicoccaceae
Also listed under: 3 other names
Description: tRNA-Cys
Rfam family: tRNA
About the family: Transfer RNA (tRNA) molecules are approximately 80 nucleotides in length. Their secondary structure includes four short double-helical elements and three loops (D, anti-codon, and T loops). Further hydrogen bonds mediate the characteristic L-shaped molecular structure. tRNAs have two regions of fundamental functional importance: the anti-codon, which is responsible for specific mRNA codon recognition, and the 3' end, to which the tRNAs corresponding amino acid is attached (by aminoacyl-tRNA synthetases). tRNAs cope with the degeneracy of the genetic code in two manners: having more than one tRNA (with a specific anti-codon) for a particular amino acid; and 'wobble' base-pairing, i.e. permitting non-standard base-pairing at the 3rd anti-codon position.
Source: RNAcentral
GUCGAGGUACCACAGUGGCUAUGGGGCGGACUGCAGAUCCGCAGACGGGGGUUCGAUCCCCUCCCUCGACUCCA